Molecule: long non-coding RNA, 954 nt
Filed under: Homo sapiens (human)
Lineage: Eukaryota; Metazoa; Chordata; Mammalia; Primates; Hominidae
Description: HSALNT0402553
Source: RNAcentral
UGGCGUUUGGCGGGUCUUUGUCUCUUGCUGGCGCUGGCACAGGAACUUGGGAUCCGUCUCCUCUUUCGCCUCCUCCGCUUUGGGAGCCCCGGGCUACUCUUUCACAGCCCCUGUUGCCCUGUGAUCUGUAGGUCCUUGGGGACGCACAGUUAAGAUGACAGGACAUCCUGGAAGCUGGGAAAUGAUAUGUAUUCAUUUCCUACCACCGUAGUGGAAGAGAGAUUUUCCCUAUCUUUACAACUGAUAGCAUUUCCAACAGUAAGCUGUGAGAUUCUGCUUGAAAUCACCUCUCAAACAAAUAAAAAACAGACCUGGGAGACAUGCUACACUCAUUCUGCUGAGGAAAUAGGUGGGAUUGUGACAUACAUCUCUGCCCAGCUCCUGAGUGUUUUAGCUCUGUUUCCUGUGUCCAGCUCACAGAUGGGAUUCUGAUAUAUCACUGAAGCCAGCACCUAAAUGAUGUGACUCUUAUCUCCUGCCUUGGUGCUGCCCACAGGGGACAUUGGGACAUAUCACUUGGCCUUGCACCUAGGAUUUGUUUGGAAGGAGAUUGUGAUACAUUGGUGGGUCCAACUUCUCAGUGACAUUACUCUGUUGACUGUGCUCUGCAAGCAGAAAGCACUGUGACACAUUAUUGGGCCCAACACCAAGGCGAUGUGACUCUCCACUCUUACCUGGGCCCUUCCAAAAGAGGGGAUUGUGACAUAUCACUGACCCUAACACCAAGUGAAGCUUGUGACAUAUUUCUGCAUUCAUCACCAAGAAGAUGUGACUCUUCUGCCUGCAUCCUGACCACAGAGAGGAUUGUGAAAUAUUGCUAGAUCCAGCAUGCAGGUGAUGUGUCUCUGCUGCCUCGUUCCUAAUGUGAGGAGUGGAUUGCAACAUACCAAUGCCUGAACAUUCAGGUAAUGUGACUGUUGACUGGUCCCUGUCCUCAGGGAAGCGACAUAUCAC